This 229-nucleotide long non-coding RNA is filed under the name Marmota monax (woodchuck). Lineage: Eukaryota; Metazoa; Chordata; Mammalia; Rodentia; Sciuridae. The record is from RNAcentral.
UAUUUAUUUAUUUUUUUAGUUUUUGGCGGACACAACAUCUUUGUUUGUAUGUGGUGCUGAGGAUCGAACCCGGGCCGCACGCAUGCCAGGCGAGCGCGCUACCACUUGAGCCACAUCCCCAGCCCUCCUUUGAUAAUUUAAAGUGAUUUCUAUUGCCAGAUUUUACAGAAUAAUCUAAAUGUACUCUUUUAUAAUAAAUAUCCUGCACAUACUUCUGGAUAUUUCUGUG